Molecule: non-coding RNA, 95 nt
Organism: Acanthosepion pharaonis
Lineage: Eukaryota; Metazoa; Mollusca; Cephalopoda; Sepiida; Sepiidae
Source: the annotation of a GenBank genome assembly
UAUGGCCAUGCCAGGUUGAAACACUGGUCCUCAUACGAUCACUGAAGUUAAGCGUGGUCAGCACUUAGAUGGGUGACCACUUGGGAAUGUCACUG